Molecule: transfer RNA, 93 nt
Organism: Lupinus angustifolius (narrow-leaved blue lupine)
Lineage: Eukaryota; Viridiplantae; Streptophyta; Magnoliopsida; Fabales; Fabaceae
Rfam family: tRNA
About the family: Transfer RNA (tRNA) molecules are approximately 80 nucleotides in length. Their secondary structure includes four short double-helical elements and three loops (D, anti-codon, and T loops).
Source: Rfam
CCGACCUUAGCUCAGUUGGUAGAGCGGAGGACUGUAGUGAGAUAAUAUCUCAAAGAUAUCCUUAGGUCGCUGGUUCGAAUCCGGCAGGUCGGA